UACAGAGGUCUCAAGCGUUGUUCGGAAUUACUGGGCGUAAAGAGUGUGUAGGCGGUGCUCUAAGUUCGGUGUGAAAUCUCCCGGCUCAACUGGGAGGGUGCGCCGAAAACUGGAGUGCUGGAGCGCGGGAGAGGAAAGCGGAAUUCCUGGUGUAGCGGUGAAAUGCGUAGAUAUCAGGAGGAACACCGGCGGUGUAGACGGCUUUCUGGACCGUAGCUGACGCUGAGACACGAAAGCGUGGGUAGCAAACAGG
RNAcentral lists this ribosomal RNA (253 nucleotides) under uncultured bacterium. RNAcentral describes it as "partial 16S ribosomal RNA". It matches the Rfam family "Bacterial small subunit ribosomal RNA", at positions 524 to 776 of the family's 1533-position model. The record is from RNAcentral.